This 301-nucleotide ribosomal RNA is filed under the name uncultured bacterium. RNAcentral's name for it is "partial 16S ribosomal RNA". It matches the Rfam family "Bacterial small subunit ribosomal RNA", at positions 509 to 807 of the family's 1533-position model. The record is from RNAcentral.
CAGUAGCCGCGGUAAUACGAAGGGGGCUAGCGUUGUCCGGAUUUACUGGGCGUAAGGCGCACGUAGGCGGAUCGAUCAGUCAGGGGUGAAAUCCUGGAGCUCAACUCCAGAACUGCCUUUGAUACUGUCGAUCUCGAGUCCGGAAGAGGUGAGUGGAACUCCUAGUGUAGAGGUGGAAUUCGUAGAUAUUAGGAAGAACACCAGUGGCGAAGGCGGCUCACUGGUCCGGUACUGACGCUGAGGUGCGAAAGCGUGGGGAGCAAACAGGAUUAGAUACCCCAGUAGUACCUGUCUCUUAUAC